ACCAGAAAGCCACGGCUAACUACGUGCCAGCAGCCGCGGUAAUACGUAGGUGGCAAGCGUUGUCCGGAAUUAUUGGGCGUAAAGCGCGCGCAGGCGGCUUCUUAAGUCUGAUGUGAAAUCUCGGGGCUCAACCCCGAGCGGCCAUUGGAAACUGGGGAGCUUGAGUGCAGAAGAGGAGAGUGGAAUUCCACGUGUAGCGGUGAAAUGCGUAGAGAUGUGGAGGAACACCAGUGGCGAAGGCGACUCUCUGGUCUGUAACUGACGCUGAGGCGCGAAAGCGUGGGGAGCAAACAGGAUUAGAUACCCUGGUAGUCCACGCCGUAAACGAUGAGUGCUAGGUGUUAGGGGUUUCGAUGCCCUU
This 361-nucleotide ribosomal RNA is filed under the name Shouchella clausii. Its description in RNAcentral is "bacterial SSU rRNA". It matches the Rfam family "Bacterial small subunit ribosomal RNA", at positions 482 to 841 of the family's 1533-position model. The record is from RNAcentral. Lineage: Bacteria; Bacillati; Bacillota; Bacilli; Caryophanales; Bacillaceae.